RNAcentral lists this non-coding RNA (29 nucleotides) under Rattus norvegicus (Norway rat). The record is from RNAcentral. Lineage: Eukaryota; Metazoa; Chordata; Mammalia; Rodentia; Muridae.
UUACAUUUUGUCUUUGGUGUCUCUUCCAU